This 253-nucleotide ribosomal RNA is filed under the name uncultured bacterium. Its description in RNAcentral is "partial 16S ribosomal RNA". It matches the Rfam family "Bacterial small subunit ribosomal RNA", at positions 524 to 776 of the family's 1533-position model. The record is from RNAcentral.
UACGUAGGGGGCAAGCGUUGUCCGGAAUCAUUGGGCGUAAAGAGCGUGUAGGCGGCCAGAAAAGUCCGCUGUGAAAACUCGAGGCUCAACUUCGAGCUGUCGGUGGAAACUUCCUGGCUAGAGUCCGGAAGAGGAGAAUGGAAUUCCUGGUGUAGCGGUGAAAUGCGCAGAUAUCAGGAAGAACACCCGUGGCGAAGGCGGUUCUCUGGGACGGUACUGACGCUGAGACGCGAAAGCGUGGGGAGCGAACAGG